RNAcentral lists this long non-coding RNA (335 nucleotides) under Nicotiana benthamiana. RNAcentral's name for it is "long non-coding RNA (NBEN_LNC040236)". The record is from RNAcentral. Lineage: Eukaryota; Viridiplantae; Streptophyta; Magnoliopsida; Solanales; Solanaceae.
UACUGUUUUAUUGAUUGUUGAGUGAUUUCCAGAUUUCUUCUUUGGUAUUCUGUCUCCUAGCUUUGGGUCUAAGGGUGUGUUGGUUUGUUUUGAGUUGGUUUGGUGUCAUUCCUGCUGGAUUUGGUGGUUUUCAUGUGGAUUUAAACAUUUCUGGGUUAUAUUGUCGAUUUCCUGGGUUGUUCAUUGUUGUUGUUGACUCACUCAAAGUGUUGCUGCCUGAAUUUCCCUUGUUCUGUUGCUAUAUAGCUGCUGUUCAUCCUUUUUUUCUCUUGUUAAAAUCCCAUUUCCAGGUACACAAUCGAAAACCUGAAAACAUGCAGAGAAUCGGAGAAAAU